CAUUUAUGCAGCAGGACAUAUGCGUCUGGGGCUCCACAGAUAUACCUGGAGGCAGAGCUGAUAAGUGUUUAGCUAGGGCCCAUGGAAGAAGAAGAGUCUGGUUUUCAUCAUCAGCCCGUGUCCAUGGUCAACAUCCUCCCACCACAGCUGACUUCAUGCUACCCUCGUGUGGUCAGUGAGGAUGACGGGCACAGCUGGCCUCACAAGCCCGCUCCAGCACACUGCUGGCUGGAGGUCAAGUGCUGGGACUCCAGACUGGGACCCCAAGUGCUGAGACUGCAGCAGAUGACAUCACAGUCAGGUUAGAACAGGAGGAGAGCUGGGGUGGAGGCGGGGGUGAUCACCAUCCAAGGAUGGUCACACCCGUGAUCGGAAGCCCACCGGAGGCAGAGCUGGUCUGACAAGCAUCUGCUCUCCGUCAGGCAUCUUAUAUGUCACUGUCUUAACCCACACUCCAGGGGUGGGUUCUAUUAUCAACCUUAUUUUAUAUGUGGGGGACGGCAGUGCAGAGAGGUCAGCCAUUUUGAUGUGCCCCGCUGGGAACGGAGCUGGAAAGAAGCUGUUUGCUAGAAACAGAGACUGUUGCGAAGUCCUGGGUGGGAACCGAAGUGGUGAUGCAAACUGGUGACCCCGUCUGAAAUCUGCAGCACCAGACCUCACAGGGAUGCUCCGGAGCAAGCCCUGAUCACAACUGUGCCUGGCCCCAAGUGGUGAUGAGUCCAUCUUCUCAGUAAAAGGGCCGCUCCUGCCUGAACAAAGCAUGCUGCUUUCGGGGGAACCCUGGGAUGUCAGCAGCAUGAGGCAGAGCCCUCCUCACCAUCACCGGGGGAUUUUGUUCACUGAGAUGCAGCUAUUAACGCUCCGGCUUCUCCACUGCUUCAGCCACAAUUGUGUUAUCUGGGCAUGAGUCCCUGAUAAAUAUGUUCCCUUGA
Molecule: long non-coding RNA, 932 nt
Organism: Odocoileus virginianus texanus
Lineage: Eukaryota; Metazoa; Chordata; Mammalia; Artiodactyla; Cervidae
Source: RefSeq, a predicted model, not a curated record